Molecule: long non-coding RNA, 1823 nt
Filed under: Anas platyrhynchos platyrhynchos (common mallard)
Lineage: Eukaryota; Metazoa; Chordata; Aves; Anseriformes; Anatidae
Description: lncRNA (ENSAPLG00000025383.1)
Source: RNAcentral
AGAUGAUCUUCUGAGCUUUCAAUUUAAUUGCUGUCACUGAAUUGAUAAGAUUAAUUAAGAAAACUAAUUCUGAAUUUCUACCUUCCCUGUCAGAACAGAUUUCUGGUCAAGUCAUAAAAGAUCCAGUCCAUGCUAGGGAUAUUAGUGGUACUAGAAAAGCAUCUUUGAAAACUAUUACUUUCCAAGUAUGUUGUAACUCUAGAAAAGUAUGUAAAACUUUGGAUUGAAAGGCAAUCUUGGGCAAAAUGUUACAUUUUAUUCUGACUCUAUUUUUCUACUGACACUAUUUUUGGUACAAAGAGUUCUUUCUAUUGCAGAAAAUAUAUUUCAGACCCUUUGUCCUUGCCAGACAGCAGUAGAGCAAACAGCUCCCCACCACCACUUUUUUUUUUCUUUUUUUUUUUUUUAACUUAACAAACUAGGAACAUACAGCAGGGAGAUGAGUAAGCAGGCAACAAAGGAAGGUUUCCGAUUAACAAGCAGAAUGAAACCAGCACCCCCACAUCAGAGUAAAAAAGUUCCAUGUUAAAAUUCAACUUAUCUAAAGCUCAAUGUGUUUAAGGAAUGAUGUUCUUCUCCAGGCCAGUUCUCCCUAUGCACUUCUCUUGUUUUCCUUCCACCUGACCAAGCAGCAGCCAGAAAAGCAGGACUUUCAUUACAUGCCAAGAAUAGGGCUCCAUGAACCUCCAUCUUGUCCACCAGUGUCCUGUGAAAGACACCAUGAUGCUGUGGUCGUAACCACCAAUACUAAAAGAAAAUGGAUUGAGAAGGAAAGCAAUUCACAGCAGGAUUCCAGGCACUCCAGGUACCACUCAGCACAUGCCAUGUGGUAAGUGAUAAACAUACUUAUGAAGGGCAUAAGUAUGGAUAGGGAUUUGGAGAACAGCGUCAUUAAAUGUAUUCUGCCAAACAAGUGAUAGUCCAACUAGGGAAGAAAGAAGAAAAAAAGAAAAAAAAAAAAGGGGGGGGAAAUCUUUAAUCUUUUUAGAAGUCCUGAGGAAUAACUGCAAUGUGCCAAAAAUCAGACUUCAUGUGAAUCAAUUGUCAAUCAAUUACAACAAUAACUGAAUAUGAUAAAGCAGAUGACUUUUUCUCAAUCUAUCAUAAAUUUGAUACAUAAUUAUCUUCUUAUGAGAAAAUGGGGAAAACAUCAGUCUGUAGGUAAUUCAAAAUGUGUCACAUUCUCUCACCAUGUUCAUGUAUAAGUAUGCCCCACAACAGUGUUUUUCAAUAAUGUUGGUGUGUCCAGCUUUAUCAAAGAGAAAAUACAUACCCUUAUAGUACACCCAGACAGGCCCCGCUUUGCGUGCCAGUGAUUAACUCAUACCCAAACUGAAAGAAAUUCUGUUGUGAAAAAGCAUGCCAAACUUUUUUUUUCUAUUACAUAUACACAAGACUAUAACAGAAGGAAAAAAGAAAAAAAAAAAAAAAGGCUCCACUUUUUGAGAAUGUACUACCCUAGCUCUAUUUAACAAAUUAUUAAUUAAAAGUACUUAGUAAAAGUGCAGUGUUGUGCACUUUCCUUUCUCUCAUGCUUUUUCUCCACAAUAUUGGAAUAGUAUCAGAUUUAUACUUGAAUUUUUCUUACACAGAAUAGAUUCAUUUAUGAGAUCACAUUUUUUUCCAUAGCAACCAACCUUCAUGUGAGAGAUUCAAGAUGUGUGAGCUUAAUGACAGGUGAAUAGGAGCAGGAAAUGUUAGUGAUGUUGAGAAGGAGAGGAUGGCAUAGAUCUGUCUAGUCCUCUAAUCUAAAAUUGCUGUGAAAUUCUGUAAAAUAUCAGCUUUGGUAAAUUGAGAAAUAAAAGAUACUUUUCUCAUAUUCA